GUUAAACACUAAGUGUGAGUGAAAAUGUCUGGUUUUUCUUCCAUAGCACCUCCUUCUUUCAAUGGAGACAACUAUCCAGUUUGGGUAGUGAAGAUGAGAUCUUUUCUGAAAGCAAUGAAUUUGUGGGAAUCUGUAGAAUCAGAUGCAGAUCCAACUCCUCUUGGAAGGGAUCCCACUUUGGCACAGAUCAAGAAGUAUGAGGAAGAUAAAGCAAAGAAACAUAAGGCUCUCACCUGUAUCCAUUCAGCAAUGACAGAUGCUACCUUUUCCAGAAUUAUGGCCUGUGAAACAGCAAAGGAAGCUUGGGAUAAGUUGAAAGAAGAGUUUGAAGGGAGUGAUAGAGUAAAAUCAGUCAAGCUCCUCACUUUAAA
RNAcentral lists this unclassified non-coding RNA (371 nucleotides) under Hevea brasiliensis (rubber tree). Lineage: Eukaryota; Viridiplantae; Streptophyta; Magnoliopsida; Malpighiales; Euphorbiaceae. The record is from RNAcentral.